Molecule: unclassified non-coding RNA, 214 nt
Filed under: Hevea brasiliensis (rubber tree)
Lineage: Eukaryota; Viridiplantae; Streptophyta; Magnoliopsida; Malpighiales; Euphorbiaceae
Source: RNAcentral
AGAGAGAGAGAGAGAGGGAGAGAGUAUCAAUGUUAACACAAAGCAUGAAAAAUGUGCAAACAUGGGAAAAACAGCUCGCAUAAUUGCCUAUUAAAUUCCAGAAGGUCAUGGCAAAUAGAACAACUGAAACGAAAACUAUACAAUAGCCAAAAUCACAUUUAUUCCGCAGCCAUAUGGUAACCCCAACUCACCUCCCUUUGACGCAGUGCUGCUU